This 194-nucleotide small RNA is filed under the name Spermophilus dauricus (Daurian ground squirrel). RNAcentral describes it as "7SK RNA (ENSSDAG00000013474.1)". It matches the Rfam family "7SK RNA", at positions 83 to 331 of the family's 331-position model. From Rfam's summary of the family: 7SK was discovered as an abundant small nuclear RNA in the mid-70s but a possible function has only recently been suggested. The record is from RNAcentral. Lineage: Eukaryota; Metazoa; Chordata; Mammalia; Rodentia; Sciuridae.
GGGUCCCCUUCCUCCCUCACCGCUCCAUGUGCGUCCCUCACCUUCCCCGAUAGGGGAGGACCCGUCUUCGGUCAAGGGUAUACGAGUAGCUGCGCUCCCCUGCUAGAACCUCCAAACAAGCUCUCAAGGUCCGUUUUUCAAUCUUUAAUACAGAGGGAACAAGGACCUCAUCCUGAUUUCUAAGACCAGUAUCA